CCUACGGGAGGCUGCAGUCGAGAAUCAUUCACAAUGGGGGAAACCCUGAUGGUGCGACGCCGCGUGGGGGAAUGAAGGUCUUCGGAUUGUAAACCCCUGUCAUGUGGGAGCAAAUUAAAAAGAUAGUACCACAAGAGGAAGAGACGGCUAACUCUGUGCCAGCAGCCGCGGUAAUACAGAGGUCUCAAGCGUUGUUCGGAAUCACUGGGCGUAAGGCGUGCGUAGGCUGUUUCGUAAGUCGUGUGUGAAAGGCGCGGGCUCAACCCGCGGACGGCACAUGAUACUGCGAGACUAGAGUAAUGGAGGGGGAACCGGAAUUCUCGGUGUAGCAGUGAAAUGCGUAGAUAUCGAGAGGAACACUCGUGGCGAAGGCAGGUUCCUGGACAUUAACUGACGCUGAGGCACGAAGGCCAGGGGAGCGAAAGGGAUUAGAUACCCCAGUAGUC
RNAcentral lists this ribosomal RNA (446 nucleotides) under uncultured bacterium. RNAcentral describes it as "partial 16S ribosomal RNA". It matches the Rfam family "Bacterial small subunit ribosomal RNA", at positions 338 to 795 of the family's 1533-position model. The record is from RNAcentral.